RNAcentral lists this ribosomal RNA (479 nucleotides) under uncultured bacterium. Its description in RNAcentral is "partial 16S ribosomal RNA". It matches the Rfam family "Bacterial small subunit ribosomal RNA", at positions 28 to 507 of the family's 1533-position model. The record is from RNAcentral.
GAUGAACGCUAGCGGGAGGCCUAACACAUGCAAGCCGAGCGGUAUUUGUUCUUCGGAACAGAGAGAGCGGCGCACGGGUGCGGAACACGUGUGCAACCUGCCUUUAUCUGGGGGAUAGCCUUUCGAAAGGAAGAUUAAUACCCCAUAAUAUAUUGAGUGGCAUCACUUAAUAUUGAAAACUCCGGUGGAUAGAGAUGGGCACGCGCAAGAUUAGAUAGUUGGUGAGGUAACGGCUCACCAAGUCAAUGAUCUUUAGGGGGCCUGAGAGGGUGAUCCCCCACACUGGUACUGAGACACGGACCAGACUCCUACGGGAGGCAGCAGUGAGGAAUAUUGGACAAUGGGUUAGCGCCUGAUCCAGCCAUCCCGCGUGAAGGACGACGGUCCUAUGGGUUGUAAACUUCUUUUGUAUAGGGAUAAACCUACUCUCGUGAGAGUAGCUGAAGGUACUAUACGAAUAAGCACCGGCUAACUCCGUG